CACUCUUACUGAAAGCAUUCACUCUUCUUGGAAUUCCUGCUGAAUGGCUUCUAUUAUUAAAGCCACUUCUCUUAAGUCUGGGCCUACAGUGAUAUUCGGCUUUAUACAGUUUAGCUGAGGGUGCACUAUGCUUCACAUCUGUCUGCACUAAAACCAGUAAUGGAUGCCCUGUUGCCCCCGCAGUGAAACGAACUGCUAAAACAAAGCUUGAACAUCAUCCCAAGGGUGAACUUGUACUGUUAGUAGGAUUUCCAUAUGGCUCUUUCACACAUUCUUCCUCUAACCUUCAGAUCCAUGUAAAAUGUGGGGAAGUGGCUUUGGUGGACUACAAUUCCAAAUAUCUCCAGCCUUAAGUUUUCCAAGAUUUCCAUUCAUGAAGUAUAUCUGCCAUGCCACAGACAGGGUCUUGGUGGUUUCCAGGAUAGAAUUAAAUGCCUGGGUGUGAAGGAAUGAAUUUUAGAACUGCCAGAGACAGAGAAACUCAAGUAAAAGAAAGCUCUACUUCAAAAUCUUAAAUGCCUAGGUGUGAAGGAAUGAAUUUUAGAACUGCCAGAGACAAACUCAAGUAACAGAAAGCUCUACUUCAAAAUCUUUUUUUCCUCCUCUUAGGAGAGCUUGAAGUUGGUUGUGACAGCUUUUCCCUCAACUUAGUCUCCCAAGAAACUCCACAAGGCUAAACCCUGUGAUUGACUCAGUCUUCCAACUGCUGCAGGUAGAAUUCUGUGUGGAAAUCAUCUUAUUUAGCCCUGGGUGUCUCAGGAACAGAAAAGAAAGAACACUUGCCAAAGAAACUGCUGAAACUUCCCAUCCUCAGUUCUAAGAAAAAAGAGAUUAAAAUGAAAACAAAAGGGGAGGUGAGUCAUCAACAUGGCGUGAAGCACUGUGGGAUUUAACAGUCAGGGGUUCGGGUAUGGAAAAGUACCACUUUUUUUUGUUUUAUUUUUAGCCAUCACUAUUGAGGAUGUCAGAAAAUUUGGCUGCUGGAAGGGUUGAUGAAAAGGAAACUUCCCCGUGCAGAAGGAUGCACACCUGCUUAGAAAUUCGCUGGAGCCAACUCCAGUAUUCACUCAUUUCCAUAACGCCAGUCAAACAUCUUCUCAGGAAAACCUGUCUUGGACUCAGCAAAAAGGGGGAGAGAAUCCAGGAGAGGAGCUAGCUAACUUGCUAGGUACACACAUCAUUAUUGCUCUCUUUUCUCCUCCUAUGUGCGAGAAAAUUCCUCUAUUCUAUGAUGGUCUGAGUCUCACAUUAUUUAAUGUAACUGCUUCCCCUUUCCAUUUCCCAAGGACACCCCAUACAUUUCAUUCAGAAUCCUGCUUUGGUACCACUGUAUCUGACAAGGCCUGAGAAGUGGACACAAAGAACAAGGUUUUGGCACUAGUAUCCUAAAAUGUUUCCCAAGAGAAAGCUUCCUGUUGCAGAAUCACCUUGGUUCUAAUACUGAACUUUAGUGGCGAAGGAACCGUUUCUACCCACUGCAAUUGUCCUGAGUGUAAACUCUCUCUAUUUUGUUGU
This 1515-nucleotide long non-coding RNA is filed under the name Pogona vitticeps (central bearded dragon). RNAcentral's name for it is "lncRNA (ENSPVIG00000015635.1)". Lineage: Eukaryota; Metazoa; Chordata; Lepidosauria; Squamata; Agamidae. The record is from RNAcentral.